Molecule: ribosomal RNA, 274 nt
Filed under: uncultured bacterium
Lineage: Bacteria
Description: partial 16S ribosomal RNA
Rfam family: Bacterial small subunit ribosomal RNA
Source: RNAcentral
AUACAGAGGGUGCGAGCGUUAAUCGGAAUUACUGGGCGUAAAGCGUGCGUAGGCGGUUAAUUAAGUCAGAUGUGAAAGCCCUGGGCUCAACCUGGGAAUUGCAUUUGAUACUGGUUGACUUGAGUAUGGGAGAGGGAAGUGGAAUUUCCGGUGUAGCGGUGAAAUGCGUAGAUAUCGGAAGGAACACCAGUGGCGAAGGCGACUUCCUGGACCAUUACUGACGCUGAGGCACGAAAGCGUGGGGAGCAAACAGGAUUAGAAACCCUUGUAGUCC